Long non-coding RNA from Andrographis paniculata, 1036 nucleotides. RefSeq lists it as uncharacterized. The record is from RefSeq and is a predicted model, not a curated record. Lineage: Eukaryota; Viridiplantae; Streptophyta; Magnoliopsida; Lamiales; Acanthaceae. The transcript has 4 exons.
ACUGCCUUCGCCUUCCUCCUUGAGUUCUUCAUCUCUCUGCAACUGCAACAAACAAUUAUUGAAGAGCACAGAUGAUAUAGAACUGCAAGAUUGAUUUCUUCUGACAAUAGGAACGAAGACCUUGCGAUCCGGAAGGUCUAAACCUUGUUUGAUGCGCCCGAGUCUUCGUGAAUAUAAGACCUGCUCCCUGGCAAUAGGCAGACGGAUGGAUUGAUAUUCUUGGAGAGCAGAAUUCAGAUUCUCAACUCCCCAUUUCUCUAGACAUUUUCCCAGAACUGCAGCAUCCAGUAUUGACAUGUUUGUACUUCUUAAACCAUGAGGAGUCGUUGGAUGAGCUGCAUCUCCAAUCAAUGCCACGUUGUCCCAAACAAUUCUAUCUAGAGGCUCCCCAUCAUAUAUGACAUUCAAGAAUGGUUGUUCUGUCUCGCGCAUCACUUUAACCAAUUCAGAAUCCCAGGUUCGUACAUGUGCCAAAGAUCAAAGAAGCAUUGGCUCGAUUCACAAACCUCAGUUUAAAGUCGGGUAAGAAGCUCUGGCGAAUUGGAGAAAGACAACCAUCAGCUGCUACCAACAAAUCACCAACAAUGUUGGUUAUAUCACCAGUUUGGACAGCUUUGCUCUUUACUUCGACAUGAGUUCUGUCUUCGGAGAUGCAAAAGGUGAGGAACAUUUGUCCCCAGCAAACAGUUUGUGCUGGUAAUGCCUCGUGGAGAAGGCUAUGCAGAUCAGACCAGUGUGCUGCUCGAAAAUUCAAGUUCUCAUCCCUUGUGAGCACACGGUUCUUGUUUCCAUCUGUUGCUUCAUUCUACAAUUAACACAACAUGUCAGGAUCAACAAUUCAACGACAACGCAGGUGAUUGAAUAAGUAGUGAAGUUCAUGAGAAAUUUGGUUCAAUUACUUGAUCGAUCGUGAGCGGCACAGUGUUAAGCUCGAGGAUGCCUGGUUGUUUGAGCCAUGAUCUGAGAAUUUUCUGAGCCAAAGGAUCGAGUCCGAGUCCUGCACCGGUAGCGCAACCUGCUCGAGGCGCACCUGUUU